Molecule: ribosomal RNA, 492 nt
Filed under: uncultured bacterium
Lineage: Bacteria
Description: partial 16S ribosomal RNA
Rfam family: Bacterial small subunit ribosomal RNA
Source: RNAcentral
AGUGAACGCUGGCGGUAGGCCUAACACAUGCAAGUCGAACGGCAGCACAGUAAGAGCUCGCUCUUACGGGUGGCGAGUGGCGGACGGAUGAGGAAUACAUCGGAAUCUACUUUUUCGUGGGGGAUAACGUAGGGAAACUUACGCUAAUACCGCAUACGACCUACGGGUGAAAGCAGGGGAUCUUCGGACCUUGCGCGAUUGAAUGAGCCGAUGUCGGAUUAGCUAGUUGGCGGGGUAAAGGCCCACCAAGGCGACGAUCCGUAGCUGGUCUGAGAGGAUGAUCAGCCACACUGGAACUGAGACACGGUCCAGACUCCUACGGGAGGCAGCAGUGGGGAAUAUUGGACAAUGGGCGCAAGCCUGAUCCAGCCAUACCGCGUGGGUGAAGAAGGCCUUCGGGUUGUAAAGCCCUUUUGUUGGGAAAGAAAAGCAGCAGGUUAAUACCCCGCUGUUCUGACGGUACCCAAAGAAUAAGCACCGGCUAACUUCGUG